This 559-nucleotide ribosomal RNA is filed under the name uncultured Brachybacterium sp. RNAcentral's name for it is "bacterial SSU rRNA". It matches the Rfam family "Bacterial small subunit ribosomal RNA", at positions 346 to 916 of the family's 1533-position model. Lineage: Bacteria; Bacillati; Actinomycetota; Actinomycetes; Micrococcales; Dermabacteraceae. The record is from RNAcentral.
AGGCAGCAGUGGGGAAUAUUGCACAAUGGGCGAAAGCCUGAUGCAGCGACGCCGCGUGGGGGAUGACGGCCUUCGGGUUGUAAACCUCUUUCAGUAGGGAAGAAGCGAGAGUGACGGUACCUGCAGAAGAAGCGCCGGCUAACUACGUGCCAGCAGCCGCGGUAAUACGUAGGGCGCAAGCGUUGUCCGGAAUUAUUGGGCGUAAAGAGCUUGUAGGUGGCUUGUCGCGUCUGCCGUGAAAACCCGAGGCUCAACCUCGGGCGUGCGGUGGGUACGGGCAGGCUAGAGUGUGGUAGGGGAGACUGGAACUCCUGGUGUAGCGGUGAUAUGCGCAGAUAUCAGGAAGAACACCGAUGGCGAAGGCAGGUCUCUGGGCCAUUACUGACACUGAGAAGCGAAAGCAUGGGGAGCGAACAGGAUUAGAUACCCUGGUAGUCCAUGCCGUAAACGUUGGGCACUAGGUGUGGGGAACAUUCCACGUUUUCCGCGCCGUAGCUAACGCAUUAAGUGCCCCGCCUGGGGAGUACGGCCGCAAGGCUAAAACUCAAAGGAAUGACGG